ACAAUUUAUGACCUUAUUUUUACCUUACUAUUUAACGUAUUUAAAUUUCCUUUUAAGAUUGUUUUAAUGAAUAAUUUCUUCAGUUUCAGUUUAUCAAUUGGCCGGACAUAUACAUACGUACGUGUGAGUAAUUUGUUUUAAUGGAUUUCAUGACACCAAGAUUACAAUUUACGCCAAAUCGGCGUACUUUUAAUUCCUAUACUAUCCAUUUAUUUUAUUAAUUCUGUUAUGACUGAAUUGUUUUUCGUCAGAAAUGAAAUCCAAAUUAGCUAAUCGAAAUCAAAAAUCCUUCCAGCGAAUCUAAAUUCCGCUCUUCUCCAAAUUAAUAAAGAACGAUACAAAAUU
Molecule: long non-coding RNA, 345 nt
Organism: Bombyx mori (domestic silkworm)
Lineage: Eukaryota; Metazoa; Arthropoda; Insecta; Lepidoptera; Bombycidae
Exons: 2
Source: RefSeq, a predicted model, not a curated record